UUUACUCACAUUUGUAUGAAGUUGGAAUAGCUUCCCUUAGUUUGCCGCUAGGGGCGCUGUUCAAACUCCGUACAAAUCUGAGUUA
Molecule: non-coding RNA, 85 nt
Organism: Bombyx mori (domestic silkworm)
Lineage: Eukaryota; Metazoa; Arthropoda; Insecta; Lepidoptera; Bombycidae
Source: Rfam